UAUGUCCUACGGGGGGCAGCAGUGGGGAAUAUUGCACAAUGGGGGAAACCCUGAUGCAGCGACGCCGCGUGGGUGAAGAAGUACUUCGGUACGUAAAGCCCUAUCAGCAGGGAAGAAAAUGACGGUACCUGAUUAAGAAGCCCCGGCUAACUACGUGCCAGCAGCCGCGGUAAUACGUAGGGGGCAAGCGUUAUCCGGAUUUACUGGGUGUAAAGGGAGCGUAGACGGCUGUGCAAGUCUGAAGUGAAAGCCCGUGGCUCAACCGCGGAACUGCUUUGGAAACUGUAUAGCUUGAGUCCUGGAGG
RNAcentral lists this ribosomal RNA (305 nucleotides) under uncultured bacterium. Its description in RNAcentral is "bacterial SSU rRNA". It matches the Rfam family "Bacterial small subunit ribosomal RNA", at positions 333 to 655 of the family's 1533-position model. The record is from RNAcentral.